GUGAACGCUGGCGGUAGGCCUAACACAUGCAAGUCGAACGGCAGCACAGUAAGAGCUUGCUCUUACGGGUGGCGAGUGGCGGACGGGUGAGGAAUACAUCGGAAUCUACUUUUUCGUGGGGGAUAACGUAGGGAAACUUACGCUAAUACCGCAUACGACCUACGGGUGAAAGCAGGGGAUCUUCGGACCUUGCGCGAUUGAAUGAGCCGAUGUAGGAUUAGCUAGUUGGCGGGGUAAAGGCCCACCAAGGCGACGAUCCGUAGCUGGUCUGAGAGGAUGAUCAGCCACACUGGAACUGAGACACGGUCCAGACUCCUACGGGAGGCAGCAGUGGGGAAUAUUGGACAAUGGGCGCAAGCCUGAUCCAGCCAUACCGCGUGGGUGAAGAAGGCCUUCGGGUUGUAAAGCCCUUUUGUUGGGAAAGAAAAGCAGCAGGUUAAUACCCCGCUGUUCUGACGGUACCCAAAGAAUAAGCACCGGCUAACUUCGUG
RNAcentral lists this ribosomal RNA (491 nucleotides) under uncultured bacterium. RNAcentral's name for it is "partial 16S ribosomal RNA". It matches the Rfam family "Bacterial small subunit ribosomal RNA", at positions 29 to 507 of the family's 1533-position model. The record is from RNAcentral.